Molecule: long non-coding RNA, 496 nt
Organism: Xenopus tropicalis (tropical clawed frog)
Lineage: Eukaryota; Metazoa; Chordata; Amphibia; Anura; Pipidae
Exons: 2
Source: RefSeq, a predicted model, not a curated record
GGGUUUGGGGCAUAGGGGGCCUAUUUAACAUCCUUGGGCCCCCCACAUAACAUCGUGGUCCCGAUGGCAGCCCUCUAUGUUCUCUUCUUCCCAUCUAGAAGACCGUCUGCAAGAAGAACAUCGCCCAACAGCUGCACAGAGGAAUGAAGCACUAAAAGAACAGAAGAAGGCAGCCAUCGGGGGAGGGUUUGGGGCAUAGGGGGCCUAUUUAACAUCCUUGGGCCCCCCACAUAACAUCGUGGUCCCGAUGGCAGCCCUCUAUGUUCUCUUCUUCAUGGACAACAGCAUCUUCUAACAACUGCAUCUGAGAAAUCUUUAUUGUGUACUGAUUUAUUCAAUAAAUAUUCCAUCUUUAGAUUAUAUCAAUCCAUGCUAGAUUGUCUUAUUGGGGAGAUGGCCAUAAUAACCUCCAAGCCCACUGUUGGCUCAUAUCCAUCAUCCUUUUAAUAUAAAUUCUAAUGAUGAGUAAGAGAAGAAGGCAUAGCCCACAACUGGA